RNAcentral lists this transfer RNA (74 nucleotides) under Phrynosoma platyrhinos (Desert horned lizard). Its description in RNAcentral is "tRNA-OTHER". It matches the Rfam family "tRNA". Rfam says of the family: Transfer RNA (tRNA) molecules are approximately 80 nucleotides in length. Their secondary structure includes four short double-helical elements and three loops (D, anti-codon, and T loops). Further hydrogen bonds mediate the characteristic L-shaped molecular structure. tRNAs have two regions of fundamental functional importance: the anti-codon, which is responsible for specific mRNA codon recognition, and the 3' end, to which the tRNAs corresponding amino acid is attached (by aminoacyl-tRNA synthetases). tRNAs cope with the degeneracy of the genetic code in two manners: having more than one tRNA (with a specific anti-codon) for a particular amino acid; and 'wobble' base-pairing, i.e. permitting non-standard base-pairing at the 3rd anti-codon position. Lineage: Eukaryota; Metazoa; Chordata; Lepidosauria; Squamata; Phrynosomatidae. The record is from RNAcentral.
AGCCAGUGUGGCAUAGUGGGUUUAUGCGUUGGACUACGAAUCUGGAGACCAGGGUUCAAUUCCCCACUUGGCUA